CCUACGGGUGGCAGCAGUGGGGAAUAUUGCACAAUGGGGGAAACCCUGAUGCAGCGACGCCGCGUGAGUGAAGAAGUAUCUCGGUACGUAAAGCUCUAUCAGCAGGGAAGAAAAUGACGGUACCUGACUAAGAAGCCCCGGCUAACUACGUGCCAGCAGUCGCGGUAAUACGUAGGGGGCAAGCGUUAUCCGGAUUUACUGGGUGUAAAGGGAGCGUAGACGGCAGCACAAGUCUGGAGUGAAAUCCCGGGGCUUAACCCCGGAACUGCUUUGGAAACUGUGCGGCUGGAGUGAAGGAGGGGUAAGCGGAAUUCGUGGUGUAGCGGUGAAAUGCGUAGAUAUUAGGAGGAACACCUGUGGCGAAGGCGGCUUACUGGACUGUAACUGACGUUGAGGCUCGAAAGCGUGGGGGGCAAACAGGAUUAGAUACCCCAGUAGUC
This 440-nucleotide ribosomal RNA is filed under the name uncultured bacterium. RNAcentral describes it as "partial 16S ribosomal RNA". It matches the Rfam family "Bacterial small subunit ribosomal RNA", at positions 338 to 795 of the family's 1533-position model. The record is from RNAcentral.